This 442-nucleotide ribosomal RNA is filed under the name uncultured bacterium. RNAcentral's name for it is "partial 16S ribosomal RNA". It matches the Rfam family "Bacterial small subunit ribosomal RNA", at positions 338 to 795 of the family's 1533-position model. The record is from RNAcentral.
CCUACGGGUGGCAGCAGUGGGGAAUAUUGGGCAAUGGGCGAAAGCCUGACCCAGCAACGCCGCGUGAAGGAAGACGGCUUUCGGGUUGUAAACUUCUUUUGAUAGGGAAGAGAAGAAGACGGUACCUGUCGAAUAAGCCACGGCUAACUACGUGCCAGCAGCCGCGGUAAUACGUAGGUGGCAAGCGUUGUCCGGAUUUACUGGGUGUAAAGGGUGUGUAGAUGGGUUGACAAGUCAGAUGUGAAAUCUGGGGGCUCAACCGCCGAACUGCAUUUGAUACUGGUGGUCUUGAGUAUCGGAGAGGCAGGCGGAAUUCGUGGUGUAGCGGUGAAAUGCGUAGAUAUUACGAAGAACACCGAUGGCGAAGGCAGCCUACUGGACGGCAACUGACGGUGAGGCGCGAAAGCGUGGGGAGCAAACAGGAUUAGAUACCCGUGUAGUC